RNAcentral lists this ribosomal RNA (484 nucleotides) under uncultured bacterium. RNAcentral's name for it is "partial 16S ribosomal RNA". It matches the Rfam family "Bacterial small subunit ribosomal RNA", at positions 30 to 507 of the family's 1533-position model. The record is from RNAcentral.
AUUGAACGCUGGCGGCAGGCCUAACACAUGCAAGUCGAGCGGAUGAAGGGAGCUUGCUCCUGGAUUCAGCGGCGGACGGGUGAGUAAUGCCUAGGAAUCUGCCUGGUAGUGGGGGAUAACGUCCGGAAACGGGCGCUAAUACCGCAUACGUCCUGAGGGAGAAAGUGGGGGAUCUUCGGACCUCACGCUAUCAGAUGAGCCUAGGUCGGAUUAGCUAGUUGGUGGGGUAAAGGCCUACCAAGGCGACGAUCCGUAACUGGUCUGAGAGGAUGUUCAGUCACACUGGAACUGGGACACGGUCCAGACUCCUACGGGAGGCAGCAGUGGGGAAUAUUGGACAAUGGGCGAAAGCCUGAUCCAGCCAUGCCGCGUGUGUGAAGAAGGUCUUCGGAUUGUAAAGCACUUUAAGUUGGGAGGAAGGGCAGUAAGUUAAUACCUUGCUGUUUUGACGUUACCAACAGAAUAAGCACCGGCUAACUUCGUG